AGGAUAAUAGUUAAUUAUAACAUUUGGGUUGCAUCUAAAAAGUGUUGAAUAAAUCAACUUAUCUUA
Molecule: transfer RNA, 66 nt
Filed under: Allacta australiensis
Lineage: Eukaryota; Metazoa; Arthropoda; Insecta; Blattodea; Pseudophyllodromiidae
Description: tRNA-Ala
Source: RNAcentral